GGGUUCGGCCCUCGGCAGACUGCUCAGUAACACGUGGAUAACCUAACCUUAGGUGGAAGAUAACCUCGGGAAACUGAGAACAAUAUUCCAUAGAUCUAGAAUGCUGGAAUGCAUCUAGAUUAAAAGUUCCGACGCCUAAGGAUGGGUCUGCGGACUAUCAGGUUGUAGUCAGGGUAAAGACCUGACUAGCCUACGACGGAUAUGGGUUGUGAGAGCAAUAGCCCAGAGACGAUAUCUGAGACACGAUAUCGGGCCCUACGGGGCGCAGCAGGCGCGAAAUCUUCACAAUGUGCGAAAGCACGAUGAGGGGAUCCCAAGUGCUGGCACGUAAGUGUCAGCUGUUUUUUAGUCUAAAAAACUGASAGAGUAAGAGCUGGGUAAGACGGGUGCUCAGCCGCCGCGGUAAUACCUGCAGCUCGAGUGGUGGCCGCUAUUUAUUUG
RNAcentral lists this ribosomal RNA (441 nucleotides) under uncultured archaeon. Its description in RNAcentral is "bacterial SSU rRNA". It matches the Rfam family "Archaeal small subunit ribosomal RNA", at positions 64 to 508 of the family's 1478-position model. The record is from RNAcentral.